GAAAAAUUGAAUCUCAGCCAGCUUCCCUUUGGCCUGGUACACACAGACAAAAUCAUUCCUCAGCAAAGCAAAUUCCUCUGCCCCGUUCUGACCCCUGGAAGCCUGGUAGGCUCUCCUAGCUACAUAUGGUCUGAGAGGAGACUACCCCUAUAAUGACUUGUGGAACAAGUGUCCUUUUGGCAGCUCCCCAGUCUUAGCAGGUGAGACAGGCCCAGGCAGGGAAGCAAAUGCUGACAUAAAUGUCUCCUGAAUUGGCAAGAGUGCAGAUGGGAGACUUUACAUUUAAAUGCCCGAAAUCGCCCUGACACCAGGCUGGCCCAGGUAGCCAGAAGAAACAACCUGCCUUUCUAGAAAGCGACAUGUCUGUUUCACCUCCCUGCAAGCUGUUGCUGUACCCCAGAAAUAAAGGAGGUACCAACUGCCAGUGAAGUUAGUCUUCUCUAGGCUUGCCCACUGCUCAGUAGCUAGGUACCUGGCUAGCCCCCAGGAAGGGCCUCUUACAAUGCUAAGUUGCUGCUGGGACUAGUCAAACCUUUGGGACAUGCCCAAUGGGAUUCCUGGGAUGUUCAAACUACCUCACCAACAGGAUACAGAACCAGAUGCCCGACCCCCCCUGCUUGUUGUGAAAGUUGGUGGUUUUCCUGAAAUGAGUCCUCCUGCUCUGUUCUGCAUGUGUGGGCUUCAGACGCCAGCACCAAGAAGCCUUUCCAGAAUGGGGAAAGGACUGAGGGUUGUUCAUCUUUGGGCCCUGGAGAAUUUCCUGGAGGAAAGUGUUCCAGCAACUUCCAGGAACUGGGAAGCCCGGGGCUGGAGAGAAAUUAUGUGUCACCAGCCUCCAAGGGGACCUGGCUGAGAGAUGAAUUUGUGGCAAGGACUUUGGAAUAGUUGAAUAGUGGUCAAAAUAAAUUGCUAAUAACUCACCACUGGACUCUCCGAAAGAGGCCUGUGUUCAUGUAACCAAGGCAACAGCAGACGCCAGCAACCUACUCAUUAGUGCCACCCAGUGAUAAGGCCUCCCCAUGGGCAAGACCCAGGGGCCAUCAAGUAGCAAAGUAGCAAAUGUAGCAAUAAGGGCCUGGGACCCUGAGGUGGCAGGAUCCAAAUAACAAGGCCUCAGUCUUCCCCAAGCCUCAGACAGGGGGGCAGAGGUAGCUGCUAUCAGCUGUCUGGGGUUGGGGAGCCCUGCCCACACCAAGGGUCCCUGUCUUAUAGCCUAUGACCAUUCACCGCAUGAUAACAGACACGUCGGAAUGGCCUCCUCUUAGUGCAUGUGGUUCUCGUUAGUUUAUUUUUCUGGAAUUUGGGGAACUGGACCCCAGGACCAAACAUGCUGGAAACAGUCUAAAAAUAAACAACUACUUGAACCCACUGAA
Molecule: long non-coding RNA, 1373 nt
Filed under: Rattus norvegicus (Norway rat)
Lineage: Eukaryota; Metazoa; Chordata; Mammalia; Rodentia; Muridae
Description: long non-coding RNA NONRATT024474
Source: RNAcentral